GCUGUACUGACUUGAUGAAAGUACUUUUGAACCCUUUUCCAUCUGAUG
Molecule: small RNA, 48 nt
Filed under: Mus musculus (house mouse)
Lineage: Eukaryota; Metazoa; Chordata; Mammalia; Rodentia; Muridae
Description: small nucleolar RNA, C/D box 68 (Snord68)
Rfam family: Small nucleolar RNA MBII-202
About the family: MBII-202 is a member of the C/D class of snoRNA which contain the C (UGAUGA) and D (CUGA) box motifs. Most of the members of the box C/D family function in directing site-specific 2'-O-methylation of substrate RNAs.
Source: RNAcentral